Molecule: long non-coding RNA, 208 nt
Organism: Haplochromis burtoni (Burton's mouthbrooder)
Lineage: Eukaryota; Metazoa; Chordata; Actinopteri; Cichliformes; Cichlidae
Exons: 3
Source: RefSeq, a predicted model, not a curated record
CCAAACAUCUCUUUAUAUAAAGAGGACAGCUUGAAGUGCAUAUCAUCAGUAACAAGGACAUCCUUUUCAUGCAGACUGAAGUCAGAUUCAUUGCUGUUGCCAAGAAAACAACAUCACUGAUCUUCGUCAGCUAAUUCCUGAUCAGGUGGAGAAAAUUGGCAUAGAGGAUAGUAUCCAUUUUCCAAUCUACAACACUAUGGAAAAUCAA